Molecule: ribosomal RNA, 357 nt
Filed under: uncultured bacterium
Lineage: Bacteria
Description: bacterial SSU rRNA
Rfam family: Bacterial small subunit ribosomal RNA
Source: RNAcentral
ACCGAGGCUUCGGCCCCGGGGACAGCGGCGAACGGGUGAGUAACACGUGGAUAACCUGCCCUCGGCACCGGGAUAGCCCGAGGAAACUCGGAUUAAUACCGGAUAGCCUUUCCGACUCUCGAGUCGGUUCGAAAAGGUAGCUUCGGCCUCUGGCCGGGGAUGGGUCCGCGGCGGAUUAGCUUGUUGGUGGGGUAAUGGCCUACCAAGGCUACGAUCCGUAGCUGGUCUGAGAGGACGAUCAGCCACACUGGGACUGAGACACGGCCCAGACUCCUACGGGAGGCAGCAGUGGGGAAUCUUGCGCAAUGGGCGAAAGCCUGACGCAGCGACGCCGCGUGAGGGAAGAAGGCCUUCGGG